RNAcentral lists this transfer RNA (67 nucleotides) under chicken gut metagenome. It matches the Rfam family "tRNA". Rfam says of the family: Transfer RNA (tRNA) molecules are approximately 80 nucleotides in length. The record is from RNAcentral.
GGCGUGGCUCAGCUUGGUAGAGCGCUUGGUUCGGGACUAAGAGGUCGUGGGUUCAAAUCCCGUCGCC